Molecule: non-coding RNA, 21 nt
Filed under: Caenorhabditis elegans
Lineage: Eukaryota; Metazoa; Nematoda; Chromadorea; Rhabditida; Rhabditidae
Source: RNAcentral
UUAGAAAAACUCUUUUUGAGA